RNAcentral lists this long non-coding RNA (521 nucleotides) under Brassica napus (rape). RNAcentral's name for it is "long non-coding RNA (BNAP_LNC011065)". Lineage: Eukaryota; Viridiplantae; Streptophyta; Magnoliopsida; Brassicales; Brassicaceae. The record is from RNAcentral.
GGUUUAUGAUCAAUGGUUAAGGGUCUUAGGUGUUGAUGUUGGGUUUAAGGCUUAUGGUAUUGAUUUAGGGUUCAGGGUAUUUUGUUGAGGGUUUAUUGUGUUUUUUUAGGGCUUAGGGUUUAUGAUUUGGUUAGGGUUUAUGAUUUCUAUGUACGAUUUACUGUAUUGUAUUAUAGUGGUAAGAGGUUAUAAUCAAUUGUUUAGGGUCUAAGGUGUUGCUAUUGGGUUUAAGGCUAAUGGUAUUGAUUUAGGGUUUAGGCUUCAAGAUUUAGGGUUUAGGGUUUAGAUUUUACGGUUUAUGGUUUAUAUUUUGGCAGAGUUUAGGGUUUAUGAUUUUUUUUUAGUAUAUAUGGCUUUUUAAGGAUUUUGUGAUUGUAAAACAGCCAAACUUGUACAUAUUAAGUUAAUUUGUUACAUACACAGUUACAAGGAAGCUUAACCAUGCAAAACAAUCCUUAACCACACUAAAAUUUCAGAUAACAAUCUUCUCGAACCCAAAAAAACAAUGGCGUUCAAACACC